CUCGUUAAUGAUCCCUCCGCUGGUUCACCAACGGAGACCUUGUUACGACUUUUACUUCC
Molecule: ribosomal RNA, 59 nt
Filed under: Cordyceps militaris
Lineage: Eukaryota; Fungi; Ascomycota; Sordariomycetes; Hypocreales; Cordycipitaceae
Description: partial 28S ribosomal RNA
Source: RNAcentral